CCUACAGGUGGCUGCAGUGGGGAAUAUUGGACAAUGGGGGCAACCCUGAUCCAGCCAUGCCGCGUGUGUGAAGAAGGCCCUCGGGUUGUAAAGCACUUUCAGUGAGGAAGAACGCCUGGUGGUUAAUACCCAUCAGGAAAGACAUCACUCACAGAAGAAGCACCGGCUAACUCCGUGCCAGCAGCCGCGGUAAUACGGAGGGUGCGAGCGUUAAUCGGAAUUACUGGGCGUAAAGCGCGCGUAGGUGGCUUGAUAAGCCGGUUGUGAAAGCCCCGGGCUCAACCUGGGAACGGCAUCCGGAACUGGCAAGCUAGAGUGCAGGAGAGGAAGGUAGAAUUCCCGGUGUAGCGGUGAAAUGCGUAGAGAUCGGGAGGAAUACCAGUGGCGAAGGCGGCCUUCUGGACUGACACUGACACUGAGGUGCGAAAGCGUGGGUAGCAAACAGGAUUAGAUACCCCUGUAGUC
Molecule: ribosomal RNA, 465 nt
Filed under: Vreelandella stevensii
Lineage: Bacteria; Pseudomonadati; Pseudomonadota; Gammaproteobacteria; Oceanospirillales; Halomonadaceae
Description: partial 16S ribosomal RNA
Rfam family: Bacterial small subunit ribosomal RNA
Source: RNAcentral